UACAGAGGUCCCAAGCGUUGUUCGGAUUCACUGGGCGUAAAGGGUGCGUAGGCGGUCGGGUAAGUCUGACGUGAAAUCUCCAAGCUCAACUUGGAAAUGGCGUCGGAUACUAUUCGGCUUGAGGAGUGGAGGGGAGACUGGAAUUCUCGGCGUAGCAGUGAAAUGCGUAGAUAUCGAGAGGAACACCAGUGGCGAAGGCGAGUCUCUGGACAUUUCCUGACGCUGAGGCACGAAAGCCAGGGGAGCAAACGGG
Molecule: ribosomal RNA, 253 nt
Filed under: uncultured bacterium
Lineage: Bacteria
Description: partial 16S ribosomal RNA
Rfam family: Bacterial small subunit ribosomal RNA
Source: RNAcentral